Long non-coding RNA from Apis mellifera (honey bee), 3632 nucleotides. RefSeq lists it as uncharacterized. The record is from RefSeq and is a predicted model, not a curated record. Lineage: Eukaryota; Metazoa; Arthropoda; Insecta; Hymenoptera; Apidae. The transcript is spliced from 3 exons.
CUUAUUACGUUCUUGCCCUUUGUAUCGCGUGCAAUAAAGUGCAUCGAGGAUUGACACGGGUUCACGAGCGUGCUCGCGCCCGUGCACUGUCGGUAAUUGUAGAUUUCAUGCAGGAGCCUCGAGGCGGCGUUGUUAAGGAAGCUAAACUUUCUUUUACCUUAAAGCGUCUUACGAUAUCAUCGCGGAAUACUAAUUAGACUAACACGACCGCACGAACUGAUUACAAAAGUUUUCUUUUGCCGGUGUUGACGAAACUGUUUUGAACGAAUUCUACACGUCUGUUUUGGAUUGAGAAAGAUUUUAGAUUCGUGUUUGUGACAAUCAAAUAUAGUGGAAAUAUUUUUGGUUAAUAAGAUUAGAUUAGAUUUUUAUUGUGAAACUAUUAAUUGGGCGGUUAUAUUAGGAUAUAUGGAAUAUGGAAUAAUAUUAGUGUGGUAGAAUUUAUUUUUUUCUUAUAGAUUAAAUAAAUGUUUCUGAUUAUGGUUAUAUGAUAAAUGUGUUACCGAUCAAAUAUGGCGGUAGAAUGUUUUCGGUUAAUAUACAUGAUUAGGUUAGAUUUUUAUUUUAUAGAUAUUUGCACAGCGAAUUGUAUUGAAGCAUAAUAUUGAUUAUUAUUUUAUUUUAGAAUUUAUUUUUCGUUUUAAAUUCAAUAAAUAAGUUUGGAUAAUCAAUCAUGAUUAUUAACCAAAUAUAGUAUCAUAUUUGAUCGUUGAUUUAGAUGAUACGAUAUGUUUUUUAUUUUUAUCGUUAUAUAUAUUUUUAUUCCAUAUUUUUUCUUUAUUACAGUUAUUCCCAGAAUUAGGUUAUCGUUAUUUAUAUAUUCUACUUUAAAGCCAUUCGCAUAUCAUCCAUUAGUCAAAUUUCCUAAAAUUGAUAACGCAUAGCAAUUUUUUAAAAGUUUCAACAUGAAGUUUCUUUAAAAAUUCUUCAUAAAUUUUUCAUGUAAGAUCAAUAUCAAUUUUCGUUCAUGCAAUUUUAUCAUCGAUGGGUUAUUCUUCUUUUCAAAUAUCGUUGAAAAGAAUGAAAUAUAGAUAUAAUUUUUAAAUUAUCAAAACAUUAUAAAUAGAUUAAAAAUACAAGAAGAAGAAAAACAAACUUAACGAAAGACAGAAUUCUCUAACGAAACCAGAAAUCAUGUUUUCAUUAUACGAGCAACCCAUCCCUUACCAAGCAAGAAUCCUAUCAGAAUCUCGAGUCAAAUUAUCAAACCUCGAUCCAAUCCCAUCAAACCUCUUUCACCGUGAAGGAAUCUCCGCGAAGGGGAAGUGUGUUCCACCUUUCAUCCGAUUGAAAUGCGAUAAACCGCAGGCAAGGACGGGAAUAGCGAGGAUUCCAUCGAUUCGUUCGCGGGGAAUGGGCGUGUUGCGUGGCUGCAGGCUCGAAGAAGUGGCGAAUUUUAAUUAGCGUAGUGCCAGCCGCUUUCUCACAUCCUGUGACAAGGCUUUUUGAACGGAAAGGGAAAGAAAGAGAGAAAUCAAUAUUUUAAAAAUACUACUUUCAAUGUGCUACUUUCAACGUAUCUAUAUUUUCUAUCACAACAACCAAUAUUAUAAAUUAUUAAUGGCCAAUAAUAGCGUUUAUAUCUAUCUAAUUAUUCAUUGAAAAAAUAAUAAUAAUAUAAUAAAAUAAAAUCUCAGAUUUAUUACAAUUACAAUUUUUAUCACAUAUAUUGAAUAUUGAAAAAACUCACAAAAAAAAAUGACAUAUAUCUACGUCAGUGAUUUGAAUUCUACUUAACAUUGCAAAUAAUGUUAAUGCUAAUCUUAAAAUAAGGUUUUUUUUUUAUCUUAUAUUAUUCUAGAUCAUACAAGAAAAACGCAAUAAAACUUAUCAAGUUAUUCUUCUUUUUAAUUUUUAUCAUUUUACAAAAGAGCAAUAUUAAAACUAUGGCUGGUUCAAGAUUCAAGGUGUGAACCUUGAUAGCCUAUUAUAUUCAUCUUUUUAACUUUGAAAUAUUGAACCACUCCCAGUUAAUUAUUGGAAAAGAUGAAAAAAAAAAAGAACCAUAAAAUCAACAAAAUGAAUAUUUAUGCGCUUUUUAUACAGAUAAAGUAACAGAAUGAGAUUUUCGGUUAAUAGCAUUAGGUUAUUGUCAUUAAAUCUUUUGAGAAAUAAAAUAUUAUAGGCAAAUAUACAGUAUGUACAGUAUGAAAGAGAAAAAGAGCUUGUUGCGUGGCCAAGGCAAAAGUAGGUAAAUGGGCUCGCGUGAUGCGCCAACGACGUCAAUGGGCCUAUAAUCGCAUCGUCUCACUGAACUUUAUAAAUAUUAUACAUGUGUUUGUUCGUGCACGAAGGAGGAGUGGAGUGGAACGUUUGGGAGAAUUACGUAAGAAAUGCGCUCGGGUUAAUUGCUAGCCGCGAGGGUGUCGUUUUCGCGGUACUAGUACUAAUCUCUAUGGGACGAUGGAUCGGGUUGUUGAAAAUUGAGGUCAGAGAGUUGAAAAAUGUAAAGAUUUUGCUUUAGGGCGAUUUCUUAUUUUAUGUGAAAAAAAAAAAAAGGAAAACGAAUGAUGCUAUCCUGAUUAGAAAGCUGAUUUAAGAUUUUUAUAGAAUUGAUAUCUAGGAAAGAGGAUUUGAAAAGAUUUUGUUUCAAGACUGGUUUGCUGAGAUAUUGAAGAAGAAAGAAUAACGAGAAAUGUUUGUAUUUUCUUUGAAAAAUUGAUAAAAUUUUUAAAACAUUCAAUUAAUGGGGCAAUCUUCAUUUAAUGAAGAUUAAAGGGGGAUAAGAAGAAUUGCAUUGUGUGGAAAACAAUGGCAUGUUAAAAUUUAUAAGUAAGAAGCAUGAAAGAAGUUAUUUUCCAAAGGAAAUCUUGUAUCUUUGUAUAUUGAAUAUAAAAGGCAAUUCUUAAAAUGCAAGGGAAAGUGAAUUUGAUGAAAAUUAAAUAAGAUAAAAGAAAUUAAUAUGCAGAAGAUGAAAAGAAAUCUGUAAGAGAUUUCUAUUUGGAAAUUGUGAAGAAAAUUGUUGUGCAUGUGAAAAAGAAUACAUACACACAAGAUACAAGGAAAAACUUUAUUUUUUAAAAGAGAUCUAGGGAAUUUUAAGAUCACAGGAUGUUUAUUUGAUAUGAAAGAUGAACAAGAUGUAUCUACAUAAAUAAAUUUAAUAAUACUGAACAUAACUGCAUUAUGUAAAGAAAAAAUAAUGAGAGAAAAAAAAUAUAGAAAAAGUUUUUUAAAGGAUUUUUAAAACUCUAUAAGUAUAAAAUUUACCUUCAAUAAUUCUAUUGGUAAUGAUCCGUUAUUUGGAAGUUUCGCGUGAAACUUUUCUCCUUAUUUAGACUUCUUCAAACAGAAUUGGUCUCGAAUUUUUUUAAAUAUACCGUGCAAGAUAUAGUGCUCAUGAUGAUAAACUUGAAAUGUGUAGUUUGAAGCAAUAUUGCGUGCUUCCUUUCCUAUAAAAAUACAAGGCCAAUUAAUAUGUUGAUAAUGAAUUGAAAGCUUCCUGUUGGCACCGAGUUUUAAUAAUUUAAUUAACUUUCUAGUUACAUUAUUUAUAAUAGGAACUCGUGGAAAUGGCAAUUAAUUUUCAAAUAAUACGUUUCAAGAAUUUCAGAUCUCUCAGAAUUUACAAUAUACGUAAUUGCAAUUUUAAGAAUUUGUUAUAAAAUAAAAUAAAUUCAUUGUACAUUGAG